Molecule: transfer RNA, 72 nt
Filed under: Mrakia frigida
Lineage: Eukaryota; Fungi; Basidiomycota; Tremellomycetes; Cystofilobasidiales; Mrakiaceae
Description: tRNA-Val (AAC) (tRNA-Val-AAC-1 1 to 3)
Rfam family: tRNA
About the family: Transfer RNA (tRNA) molecules are approximately 80 nucleotides in length.
Source: RNAcentral
GCUCAGAUCGUCUAUCGGUUAGGACGUAAGCUUAACACGCUUGCAAGCUGGGUUCGAUUCCCAGUCCGAGUA